Molecule: RNA transcript, 2011 nt
Organism: Helianthus annuus (common sunflower)
Lineage: Eukaryota; Viridiplantae; Streptophyta; Magnoliopsida; Asterales; Asteraceae
Exons: 3
Source: RefSeq, a predicted model, not a curated record
UUUAUCUAUACUAUACUAGGUUUCAGUGAUUUCGUGCUUGAUUAUUGAUGAUUGUAACAGAAGAUUCAAUGUUGGGUGAAAAUUGAAGACGCCAUAGGAAUUCUCAAGCUAAUAUCCCCCAUUUUUGUCCCCUGUUUCCAAACAUGCCCCCCUUAAAACCCAUCGUGCCUUCCGUCUUCCAUUGCAAAUGAAGAGUCGCAUUCCGGCGGUUUCCAUCACCCCCUCUAUGCUAUAAUUCUUUGAACUCAAUUGAACGGUAAAACAUAUCCCAUAUUAUCGAUGAGAGAGAGAGAGAAACGUCAGAGAGAAGAAUUGGGGAAAAUCGGCGAGGAUAAAAGGAAUCACCAGCGAGCGACUAUUCUGACCACUAGGUUGUACCGGUGGAGAGCCUAGGUUGAGGCGAAUCACCGGCAACGAUUUCAGCACCAGAUGGUUCAAGUCAACUUAUGAGCCGAAUUCUGAGUAUCUUGAUGAUGACGAUAGUAGCUUUGAAGGUGACGGGGAAGAAACUACAGGUAAGGUCCCAAAUCUUGAAACAGGAGCUGAAAAUAGUGUUGACAUAGAGUGUAAACAAUCACUCAAUAUUGAAGAUUACGGCCCGUUUCUUCCUUGCGCUUAGAAAAUGGUGCCCGGAUCUCCAACUGAGAGGGAGUUUCGAGUCUUCAUACGCAACAACGUCUUAGUUGGAAUCUCCCAACGGGAAGUCAACACGUUUUACCCGAUUCUGACCGAGAAGAAGCAUGAUAUGGAAAAGGUGAUAGACGAGUUUUAUAUGGACAAGGUGAGCAUGGGAUUUGAGUCGGAAAGUUACACGCUUGAUGUUUAUGUUCGAAAGGAUAUGAAAGUCAAGCUUUUGGAUUUCAAUCCGUGGUGUGAGAUUACGUUGCCAUUGCUGUUCACAUGGGCGGAACUGGAAUCGGAGCAGUUGAUGAGGGAACCAGAGUUUAGGAUUGUGGAGAGCCAAUUUGGGGUGAGACCGGGGUUGAAAACUGCGGUUCCAUAUGGUUAUCUGGAUACAAGUGAAGGGAGUGGUUGGGGCAUUAUUUGUGUCUUCCACUACACAUGAUCUUAGAAUUUAUAUAUAAAAAAAAAAAAAAAAAAACUCAACUACAACUCUAAGUAAUAUGCAAUUCGUUUUUAACUUAGGCAACCAUCGUCAUUCUCGCUAACUCUAACGCCACUUGCGCUCAAUGUCACAAAUUGAGGAGAAAUUAGAGGUAAAACUACGGGAAGUUAAUGGCGCCGCCAAGGAUAAUCCGUGUAUACGAGGAUAGCAUGACGAAAGUGAUUUUACCGAUUCACGAGGAAUCUUUACAAUGCAUCCAUGAAGCUUCAAGAGCCGAAUCUCUGAAAUCUUUUGACGAACAACAUUUUGGCCGUCACCAUGCCAAGAAAUCUGUUGAAGCACUCGAUGAAGAUAUUGAAAAGGUAAAAAUAUGUUUAAGAAUUUUAUGAUGGCAAACCAAUAUCAGUCGUCAAAACUGUGUGAGGCACUGCAUAUAAAGUGCGAGGACCAAAUGGACCAACUUCAAGUACUCAGACUACUGUCCAUGGCCAAGUUCAAUGCAACCAAAGUUUUGGAAAAGAGUGCGUUGGGCCAUCUAAAACCAUAUAUGCUUUUUGUCUUCAACAUUCUCGGUAUCAAUAAACUAUCGUCGUUUCAUUCGUAAAGACAUCUGUUUAAGGUGACUGGACCACUUUUUGUGAAUGUGCAGAUGAUGGGAAAGUCGAAGUCAUCGUUUAUAAAGGAAUACAAUCACAGGCUAUUUAAUUGGUUGGUGGCCUUUUCACUUGUAAUGGUGAUCGUGGGUCGUUUUAUCAUAAAGUUCGAGUCAACCCCAACACGACCCGUUUAACCUUGCAAAAGAAUGAUAAGAUUUUUAUGUAUAACUUGCUGCUUAAAUUUGAUUCACUGAUCUGUUAAAUUCGUGACAUUACAUCUUACUUGAGUAGGUUUUAUGCUUUAAUAUCCUAUUUAUGUUAAAUUUUAGGAAAUUGACAUUUUGUUUUA